UACGUAGGUGGCAAGCGUUGUCCGGAUUUACUGGGCGUAAAGGGCGUGCAGGCGGUUUGUUAAGUUCAGGGUGAAAGCUCCCGGCUCAACUGGGAGAGGUCCUUGGAUACUGGCAGACUAGAGGAGGGUAGAGGAGAGUGGAAUUCCCGGUGUAGUGGUGAUAUGCGUAGAUAUCGGGAGGAACACCAGUGGCGAAGGCGGCUCUCUGGGCCAUACCUGACGCUGAGACGCGAAAGCGUGGGGAGCGAACCGG
This 253-nucleotide ribosomal RNA is filed under the name uncultured bacterium. Its description in RNAcentral is "partial 16S ribosomal RNA". It matches the Rfam family "Bacterial small subunit ribosomal RNA", at positions 524 to 776 of the family's 1533-position model. The record is from RNAcentral.